AUUGAACGCUGGCGGCAGGCCUAACACAUGCAAGUCGAGCGGUAACAGAGAGAAGCUUGCUUCUCUGCUGACGAGCGGCGGACGGGUGAGAAAUGUCCAGGAAUCUGUCUAGUAGUGGGGGAUAACUCGCCGAAAGGUAUGCUAAUACCGCACACGCCCUACGGGGGAAAGGGCGGGACCUCCUGGCCCUUCGCUAUUAGAUGAGCCUGGGUCGGAUUAGUUAGUUGGUGCGGUAAUGGCUCACCAAGACCGCGAUCCGUAACUGGUCUGAGAGGAUGAGCCGGCAACCUGGGACUGGGGCACCGGCCAAGACCCUUAGGGGAGGAAGCAGUGGGGAUAUUGGGACAUGGGGGGGAAGCCUGAUCCAGCCAUGCCGCGUGUGUGAAGAAGGUCUUAGGGUUGUAAAGCCCUUUUAGUUGGGAAGAAAAGCAGUUAACUAAUAUUUGGCUGUUUUGACGUUACCCAAAGAAUAAGCACCUGCUAACUUCGUG
RNAcentral lists this ribosomal RNA (491 nucleotides) under uncultured bacterium. RNAcentral's name for it is "partial 16S ribosomal RNA". It matches the Rfam family "Bacterial small subunit ribosomal RNA", at positions 30 to 507 of the family's 1533-position model. The record is from RNAcentral.